Molecule: ribosomal RNA, 468 nt
Filed under: uncultured bacterium
Lineage: Bacteria
Description: partial 16S ribosomal RNA
Rfam family: Bacterial small subunit ribosomal RNA
Source: RNAcentral
GACGAACGCUGGCGGCGUGCUUAACACAUGCAAGUCGAACGGAAAGACCCUGCUUUUGUGGGGUGCUCGAGUGGCGAACGGGUGAGUAACACGUGAGUAACCUGCCCUUGACUUUGGGAUAACUUCAGGAAACUGGGGCUAAUACCGGAUAGGAGCUCCUGCUGCAUGGUGGGGGUUGGAAAGUUUCGGCGGUUGGGGAUGGACUCGCGGCUUAUCAGCUUGUUGGUGGGGUAGUGGCUUACCAAGGCUUUGACGGGUAGCCGGCCUGAGAGGGUGACCGGGCACAUUGGUCCUGAGAUACGGCCCAGACUCCUACGGGAGGCAGCGGUGGAGAAUAUUGCACAAUGGGCGGAAGCCUGAGACAGCGGCGCUGCGUGCGGGAUGACGGCCUUCGGGUUGUAAACCGCUUUCGCCUGUGACGAAGCGUGAGUGACGGUAAUGGGUAAAGAAGCACCGGCUAACUACGUG